Brassica napus (rape) is the source of this 760-nucleotide long non-coding RNA. RefSeq lists it as uncharacterized. The record is from RefSeq and is a predicted model, not a curated record. Lineage: Eukaryota; Viridiplantae; Streptophyta; Magnoliopsida; Brassicales; Brassicaceae. The transcript has 2 exons.
AUGAUUGAUAAAACUAAAUAAAAAUUUGAUGUAAACUUUAAUUUUUAAAAGUAAAACUAUAAUUUAGCGAUUUAAAAAUAAAUAAAGCUAAAAUAUAGAUAUAAAGUCCAAGCAAUCACCCCCGAGUCUCAAUCCCUCUCUCCUAACAAGAUCUAGACUUGCACAAAAAAAAUAUAUCUUCUUCACCUCUCUUUCUGUGUCUCUCCUCCUCUCCGACCCUCUCUCACUCUCCACGGUUCAUCUCUACGUCUCCUCUCCGACUCUCUCUCACUCUCACGGCACCUAUCUACAUCUCUUCUCCUACUCUCUCUCACUCUCCACGGCACCUCUCUAUUUUUGAUUUUGGUGCAGGUUGAAUAAUUGAACAAGCGAAGGAAUAUCAGAGGAGCAAUGCGACUGAAGUAAUAGAAUGUAGGGGCUGGAGUAAGAACAGAGGCUUGAGGUGCAUGCUCUGGAGGCUGGAGGCUGGAGGCUGGAGGCUGGAGGCGGAGGAUUAGGGUUACAAAGUGGAGGCCGGAGGCGGAGGAUUAGUGUUGCAAAGUGGAGGCUGAAGGCGGAUGAUUAGGGUUACAAAGUGGAGGCGGAGGCUCUGGAACGGCAACUUAGGUUUAGGUUUAGGUUAAUUAGUUUUUGGUUUAACAUUUUUAAUUGGGCAAAUUUCCAAAAUAGCACUUUUCUAAGUUUGUAUCACAAAAAUAGCACUCAAAAACUAAAAUGAACAAAAUAACACCUUUCUAAGUUUAUACUUUGAAAAUUUUAA